This 578-nucleotide long non-coding RNA is filed under the name Vigna radiata. Its description in RNAcentral is "long non-coding RNA (VRAD_LNC012885)". The record is from RNAcentral. Lineage: Eukaryota; Viridiplantae; Streptophyta; Magnoliopsida; Fabales; Fabaceae.
GGGGGGGGGGUUUAAAAAGUGUUUUGCAAAAGUUAAAGAAUUGAAACAUCAAAUACUCUUGCAAAUAAAUUUAAGCUAGCAUGGUAAUUAAACUAACACUAUAAAAACCUUAGACAACAUUCAAACAUCAAAUACUCUUGCAAAUAAAUUAACAAACACAAUUAAAAAUAAUUAAAUGCAAGACUAACUCAAACACAUUAAAAUCAACCUAGUAACUAAAUUAAGUAAAAACCAAGGAAACCAACAAGCCUAAUUUAAUCCUAGCAAAUUGCUUUGACUAAAUGACAAUUAACAAUUAAUUUUAAAAGUCCAAAUGGCCAAGAAAAGGCACAUGGCCGUGACCCACACUCCACCAAGUCAAACUUCAAAAUUCUAUCUUCACUUAACCACCAAAUGUGUUGUCUUUUGUCCCAUGUGCACCAAUUCUCAAAACAAAUUAAAAUAUGCUUAAACAUCCAAUUGAAAACCAUGCCUUAACCUUCUCCAUGCAGCAAAGAAAUGAAUUCACACACCCAAGCAUACAACUUACAUGAGCAAUGCAAAAGACUUCUACAAAAGUUGCUUCAAAAACCAAUGUG